RNAcentral lists this ribosomal RNA (497 nucleotides) under uncultured bacterium. RNAcentral's name for it is "partial 16S ribosomal RNA". It matches the Rfam family "Bacterial small subunit ribosomal RNA", at positions 28 to 507 of the family's 1533-position model. The record is from RNAcentral.
GAUGAACGCUGGCGGCGUGCCUAAUACAUGCAAGUCGAGCGAACAGACGAGGAGCUUGCUCCUCUGACGUUAGCGGCGGACGGGUGAGUAACACGUGGAUAACCUACCUAUAAGACUGGGAUAACUUCGGGAAACCGGAGCUAAUACCGGAUAAUAUAUUGAACCGCAUGGUUCAAUAGUGAAAGACGGUUUUGCUGUCACUUAUAGAUGGAUCCGCGCCGCAUUAGCUAGUUGGUAAGGUAACGGCCUACCAAGGCAACGAUGCGUAGCCGACCUGAGAGGGGGAUCGGCCACACGGGAACUGAGACACGGUCCAGACUCCUACGGGAGGCAGCAGUAGGGAAUCUUCCGCAAUGGGCGAAAGCUUGACGGAGCAACGCCGCGUGAGUGAUGAAGGUCUUCGGAUCGUAAAACUCUGUUAUUAGGGAAGAACAAAUGUGUAAGUAACUAUGCACGUCUUGACGGUACCUAAUCAGAAAGCCACGGCUAACUACGUG